CAUGUACCGGUGGGGUCCCUCGGCCUGGUCUGCACCUCUCACACUUUGGACCCCUCGGGGGAUGUUGGACUGCCAGUUUCAGCCCGUUCCCCGCAGGCCAGGCCGAGGGACCCCACCGGUGCAUG
Non-coding RNA from Myotis lucifugus (little brown bat), 125 nucleotides. The record is from Rfam. Lineage: Eukaryota; Metazoa; Chordata; Mammalia; Chiroptera; Vespertilionidae.